AGAGAGAGACAUGCGCGCAUAUCAAUAAGCGGAGGAAAAGAAACUAACAAGGAUUCCCUUAGUAACGGCGAGUGAAGCGGGAAGAGCUCAAAUUUGAAAUCUUCAAGGUUCUACCUUGACGAAUUGUAGUUUAUAGAAGUGUUUUCUGUUAGUAGAGUGGCAAAAGUUCUUUGGAAUAGGACAUCAUAGAGGGUGAGAAUCCCGUAUUUGGUCAUUCCUCCUAGCGUUGUGAUACACUUUCAACGAGUCGGAUUGUUUGGGAAUGCAGUCCAAAAUGGGUGGUAAAUUUCAUCUAAAGCUAAAUAUUGGCGAGAGACCGAUAGCGAACAAGUACCGUGAGGGAAAGAUGAAAAGAACUUUGAAAAGAGAGUUAAACAGUACGUGAAAUUGUCAAAAGGGAAGCGUUUGACACCAGUGUUGUUUUUCCGAAAAUCAAUUACGAAUGUUUUGUUUUUGAGGAGUUAUGACUUCAUCGGCUUGCUCCUUUCUUUACGAAACUUUCUUAAUGCACUUUUCGGUUAACAAGUCAACAUCAAUUUCUUUUGUUGUAAAAGGGUCAUUGGAAGGUGGCUUUCACUUCGGUGAAAGUGUUUAUAGCCUUUGACUUCUGCAAUCGGAGAGAUUGAGGUCUGCAGCGUAGAUCCUUCGGGGUUAGAUACAUUUGUGCUAAGUUAUAGCCUUUCAUAGACAACUUGUUGACUAUGAUCAGUCAUGUAGCUUACUCGCUUAUGUCAUUUUACCUACGCUUAGGAUGUUGAUAGUCACAGCGUGUAC
This 774-nucleotide ribosomal RNA is filed under the name uncultured Neocallimastigales. RNAcentral describes it as "partial large subunit ribosomal RNA". It matches the Rfam family "Eukaryotic large subunit ribosomal RNA", at positions 23 to 644 of the family's 3401-position model. The record is from RNAcentral. Lineage: Eukaryota; Fungi; Neocallimastigomycota; Neocallimastigomycetes; Neocallimastigales.